UACGUAGGUGGCAAGCGUUGUCCGGAUUUAUUGGGUUUAAAGGGUGCGUAGGCGGCCUAUUAAGUCAGUGCUGAAAUAUCCCGGCUUAACCGGGAGGGUGGCAUUGAUACUGAUGGGCUUGAGUAAAGUUGAGGUAGGCGGAAUUGACGGUGUAGCGGUGAAAUGCUUAGAUAUCGUCAAGAACACCUAUUGCGAAGGCAGCUUACUAAGCUGUAACUGACGCUGAGGCACGAAAGUGUGGGGAUCAAACAGG
RNAcentral lists this ribosomal RNA (253 nucleotides) under uncultured bacterium. RNAcentral's name for it is "partial 16S ribosomal RNA". It matches the Rfam family "Bacterial small subunit ribosomal RNA", at positions 524 to 776 of the family's 1533-position model. The record is from RNAcentral.